RNAcentral lists this unclassified non-coding RNA (237 nucleotides) under uncultured Hyaloscyphaceae. RNAcentral's name for it is "sequence contains ITS2". Lineage: Eukaryota; Fungi; Ascomycota; Leotiomycetes; Helotiales. The record is from RNAcentral.
AACGCACAUUGCGCCCCUUGGUAUUCCGGGGGGCAUGCCUGUUCGAGCGUCAUUAUAACCCUCAAGCCUAGCUUGGUGUUGGGGCAUGCCUUUGGGCAGCCCUUAAAAUCAGUGGCAGUGCCUAUCGGCUCUAAGCGUAGUAAUUUCUCUCGCUAUAGGGUCCGGUGGAACACGCGCCAGAACCCCCAACUUUCUAUGGUUGACCUCGGAUCAGGUAGGGAUACCCGCUGAACUUAA